GUAGCGGACACCGCAAGGUUGUCGCCGCAAGGCGAGCAGGUUUCGCGCUCUGUCAUGGAUGGGGCGCACCCGGCGCAGCCGGUUAAAACAAACUGCCGAUGCAGUCAUCGGC
Pseudomonas oryzihabitans is the source of this 112-nucleotide regulatory RNA element. It matches the Rfam family "Pseudomon-groES RNA". Lineage: Bacteria; Pseudomonadati; Pseudomonadota; Gammaproteobacteria; Pseudomonadales; Pseudomonadaceae. The record is from Rfam.